GCUUCCCCUGAUAAGUGUUUCUGCUUUUCAGAUUCUUUCUUUCCCCUUGCUCCUGUUUUUGUUUAUCUGAGUUGUCAGUAUAAUGCCAACAUUCAAUUGUCUCAUGCCCAAACUUGAGACAAUUAUUACAAAAAGUUGGUUUCCAGUCAUAUUCAACAGAUUGAAUCUUAGGUCCAUAUGGAGUAUCAAUUUCUAACUCAUCUGGAAGAUCAUAAGCAGCAUUAACUUCAACAAGUACUCUAGCAAAUGAAAUCUUGUCAUAAUGGGC
This 268-nucleotide long non-coding RNA is filed under the name Nicotiana benthamiana. RNAcentral describes it as "long non-coding RNA (NBEN_LNC011808)". Lineage: Eukaryota; Viridiplantae; Streptophyta; Magnoliopsida; Solanales; Solanaceae. The record is from RNAcentral.